Molecule: unclassified non-coding RNA, 439 nt
Filed under: Melitaea cinxia (Glanville fritillary)
Lineage: Eukaryota; Metazoa; Arthropoda; Insecta; Lepidoptera; Nymphalidae
Description: misc RNA ENSMCXG00005003748.1
Source: RNAcentral
CCAAAUCUCAUUUAAACCGAGGGGGGAUAAUCGAAAAUCUUACAUCAACUUCAAAAAAUAUAAAAUAUAACACAUAUUUAAAAAAAAAUGCUGAGUGUUCAUUUUGCCCGCUAAAAUAAAUCUCAUGGCUAUUAAAAUCAGUUAGUUCUUGCUUUGAAUUUCAUUUAAUUUAAAUAAAUGAACUAUAGUAUACGUAAACAGUUCAUUAUUUUCCGUCAAUCUCACAUAAGGAGAGAUUCCAGGCAAAUCUCACUAAAUCUCACGUAAUUAAUGGAUGCCAUAAGUAAAUAUUUGUUCUUUUUUAUUUUUAUAUUGACUACAAACCAGACCUUACAAAUUACGUUACAUUAAAUUAAAUUAUUAUUUUUUUUAUAAUUAUUGUUUAGACUGCGAUGAUGUGUCACUUGAAUUAAAAUCAGUGCUAGAGUCCUAAAGAUUC